GGUGAGUACACGUGACUAACCUACCCUCGAGUGGGGAAUAACCUCGGGAAACCGGGGCUAACACCGCAUAACAUCUACGGAUCAAAUGCGUAAGCAGCUUGAGGAGGGGGUCGCGGCUGAUUAGCUAGUUGGCGGGGUAAUGGCCCACCAAGGCAAUGAUCAGUAGCCGGCCUGAGAGGGCGCACGGCCACACUGGAACUGAAACACGGUCCAGACUCCUACGGGAGGCAGCAGUGGGGAAUUUUGCGCAAUGGGGGAAACCCUGACGCAGCAACGCCGCGUGGAGGAUGAAGCCCCUUGGGGUGUAAACUCCUUUCGAUCGGGACGAUGAUGACGGUACCGGAUGAAGAAGCACCGGCUAACUCUGUGCCAGCAGCCGCGGUAAUACAGAGGGUGCAAGCGUUGUUCGGAAUUAUUGGGCGUAAAGGGUGCGUACGCGGUGCGGUAAGUCUUCUGUGAAACCUCCGGGCUUAACUCGGAGCCUGCAGGAGAAACUGCCGUGCUGGAGUAUGGGA
Molecule: ribosomal RNA, 515 nt
Filed under: uncultured bacterium gp1
Lineage: Bacteria
Description: bacterial SSU rRNA
Rfam family: Bacterial small subunit ribosomal RNA
Source: RNAcentral